This is a non-coding RNA of Camellia sinensis, 1424 nucleotides long. The record is from RefSeq and is a predicted model, not a curated record. NCBI's taxonomy places the organism in Eukaryota, Viridiplantae, Streptophyta, Magnoliopsida, Ericales, Theaceae.
CACACCCACAAAUAUAUGACAAACAACCUAGCUUUCCAUGGCCGCACUGCACCUGCUUGAUUUGAGGCCAUCCGGCACGACCCUUUUUUCACUGCUUAAAAAAUAAAUAAAUAAAUAAAAUGUUACGUAUCACCGUCCGUCGACGAAUCCUCUGCCGCGCCUCGAGCCUCCGGCGCAGCUUGCGCUCUCUCUGGUUUGAAAGCAUAUUGUCAAUUCUGGAAGAAAAAUAAAAAUUUUGGCCCUAGUUUUGUAUGAAAUUGAAUACAGUUGAAGGAGUAAUUGAAUCUUCUUUGAAUCUUUCUACUGGACGAGUGAUGUAGAGAGAAUGAAAUGAAGCAAUCCAAGUUCAAGAGGAUUUGUGUCUUCUGUGGGACUAGCCACGGCAAGAAGAGUAGCUACCAAGCAAUCCACAUUUGUGUCUUCUGAAGAAGAAUUAUUUUUAGUGGUUUCUCUCGUCUUAAUAACUAAAUUCAAAUAAUGGGGAAAAUAAAUGGUAUAUUGGCUUGAGGUGAUGCUUAUCAGUGUUGGCUUAAAAUCUAUGUGAAUCAAGAAACCCCUUUGUAGAAUAUGCAGUGCAAUAUGCUGUAGCUGCAGCCCUUGCGACAUUGGAAAAGGAUAAGAAGGAUUUGUUACACAAACUACUUUUACAAGGUCUUGACAUUACAAUCUUAGGUUGCAAUGACUUCUAUUCAUAUCGGAAUCAGGUGGGGUUUAUCAUGUGAGAUUGGAAAAGGGAAAGUUGGCAGUGGUUUUGAUGUUAGUUCUGCAGUUUAUGGUAGUCAACGAUAUGUUCACUUUUCACCAGAAGUGCUUUCUUCUGCUCAGGAUGCUGUUUUUUUUGAAUGAAUAAAAUUGGAGGAUGUAGUUAAAGGAAAAGCGUUAGAGGAGGUCAUCGGUGAUGUGCUGAAUGGCAAAUGGGACCAUGAGAGGACUACAUAUUGAAUUUGAAUCCCUUAGUAGUUGGAUUUUUUGGCUCCAAUGGAGCAGAUUUUGGAUAGAUUGCAGGCAUUUGGUGAAUUUGAGUUCAAACAUUUUGGGGACAAGGUUAUUGUUGAGGAACAAAUAGAGAGGUACAUUUUAAUGCAGUUUGGUGAAACAUAUAUGUGCAAUUCUACUGUAUAGUCUGUUUUUAGUGCUGUAUAAUGUUGCUUAGUUAGAGAUAUUGCUCUUUGAUUGUUUUUGAAUUGGCAUUUUUCAUUUUGUUUUUCUUGAGAUUUUAGCUAAUAUUUUUUUGUAGGGGAUAUGAAUGAGAUAUUUCGUGGCAGUUCAUUUCUUGAAUUAAGAAGUGCAUGAUUUUAUCCUCUAGAAAAUAGCUCGCUUGAGGUCUUUCUCGUUGGAAAUAGAAAUAACGCAUUUUUUUUUAUUUUUAAUGCAUUUUAAUUUUUGACAUGUGUAUGUAUAUUCUCUCUCUCUCUCUCUCUCUC